UGUGUGUUAGUGGAAGCGUCUGGAAAGGCGCGCGAUACAGGGUGACAGCCCCGUACACAAAAAUGCACAUGCUGUGAGCUCGAUGAGUAGGGCGGGACACGUGGUAUCCUGUCUGAAUAUGGGGGGACCAUCCUCCAAGGCUAAAUACUCCUGACUGACCGAUAGUGAACCAGUACCGUGAGGGAAAGGCGAAAAGAACCCCGGCGAGGGGAGUGAAAAAGAACCUGAAACCGUGUACGUACAAGCAGUGGGAGCACGCUUAGGCGUGUGACUGCGUACCUUUUGUAUAAUGGGUCAGCGACUUAUAUUCUGUAGCAAGGUUAACCGAAUAGGGGAGCCGAAGGGAAACCGAGUCUUAACUGGGCGUUAAGUUGCAGGGUAUAGACCCGAAACCCGGUGAUCUAGCCAUGGGCAGGUUGAAGGUUGGGUAACACUAACUGGAGGACCGAACCGACUAAUGUUGAAAAAUUAGCGGAUGACUUGUGGCUGGGGGUGAAAGGCCAAUCAAACCGGGAGAUAGCUGGUUCUCCCCGAAAGCUAUUUAGGUAGCGCCUCGUGAAUUCAUCUCCGGGGGUAGAGCACUGUUUCGGCAAGGGGGUCAUCCCGACUUACCAACCCGAUGCAAACUGCGAAUACCGGAGAAUGUUAUCACGGGAGACACACGGCGGGUGCUAACGUCCGUCGUGAAGAGGGAAACAACCCAGACCGCCAGCUAAGGUCCCAAAGUCAUGGUUAAGUGGGAAACGAUGUGGGAAGGCCCAGACAGCCAGGAUGUUGGCUUAGAAGCAGCCAUCAUUUAAAGAAAGCGUAAUAGCUCACUGGUCGAGUCGGCCUGCGCGGAAGAUGUAACGGGGCUAAACCAUGCACCGAAGCUGCGGCAGCGACGCUGAUGCGUUGUUGGGUAGGGGAGCGUUCUGUAAGCCUGCGAAGGUGUGCUGUGAGGCAUGCUGGAGGUAUCAGAAGUGCGAAUGCUGACAUAAGUAACGAUAAAGCGGGUGAAAAGCCCGCUCGCCGGAAGACCAAGGGUUCCUGUCCAACGUUAAUCGGGGCAGGGUGAGUCGACCCCUAAGGCGAGGCCGAAAGGCGUAGUCGAUGGGAAACAGGUUAAUAUUCCUGUACUUGGUGUUACUGCGAAGGGGGGACGGAGAAGGCUAUGUUGGCCGGGCGACGGUUGUCCCGGUUUAAGCGUGUAGGCUGGUUUUCCAGGCAAAUCCGGAAAAUCAAGGCUGAGGCGUGAUGACGAGGCACUACGGUGCUGAAGCAACAAAUGCCCUGCUUCCAGGAAAAGCCUCUAAGCAUCAGGUAACAUCAAAUCGUACCCCAAACCGACACAGGUGGUCAGGUAGAGAAUACCAAGGCGCUUGAGAGAACUCGGGUGAAGGAACUAGGCAAAAUGGUGCCGUAACUUCGGGAGAA
This 1416-nucleotide ribosomal RNA is filed under the name Escherichia coli. RNAcentral describes it as "bacterial LSU rRNA". It matches the Rfam family "Bacterial large subunit ribosomal RNA", at positions 323 to 1744 of the family's 2925-position model. Lineage: Bacteria; Pseudomonadati; Pseudomonadota; Gammaproteobacteria; Enterobacterales; Enterobacteriaceae. The record is from RNAcentral.